Molecule: unclassified non-coding RNA, 340 nt
Filed under: Mortierella sp.
Lineage: Eukaryota; Fungi; Mortierellomycota; Mortierellomycetes; Mortierellales; Mortierellaceae
Also listed under: 1 other name
Description: partial contains 5.8S ribosomal RNA, internal transcribed spacer 2, and large subunit ribosomal RNA
Source: RNAcentral
AACGCAUAUUGCGCUCUUUGGUAUUCCGAAGAGCAUGCUUGUUUGAGUAUCAGUAAACACCUCAAAGCCUUCAAUUCAGUUUGGAAGCUUUGGACUUGAGCAAUCCCAACACCAGUCUCGCGACUGGCGGAGGGCUGCUUGAAAUGCAGGUGCAGCUGGACAUUCUCCUGAGCUAUAAGCAUAUUUAUUUAGUCCUGUCAAACGGAUUAUUACUUUUGCUGCAGCUAACAUAAAGGGAGUCUGACCGUAUUGGCUGACUGAUGCAGGAUUUCACAAGUGCUGGCAACAGCUUCUUGUAAAACUCGAUCUCAAAUCAAGUAAGACUACCCGCUGAACUUAA